Molecule: small nuclear RNA, 163 nt
Filed under: Castor canadensis (American beaver)
Lineage: Eukaryota; Metazoa; Chordata; Mammalia; Rodentia; Castoridae
Description: U1 spliceosomal RNA (ENSCCNG00000009400.1)
Rfam family: U1 spliceosomal RNA
About the family: U1 is a small nuclear RNA (snRNA) component of the spliceosome (involved in pre-mRNA splicing).
Source: Rfam by way of RNAcentral
AUACUUACCUGGCAGGGGAGAUACCAUGAUCAUGGGGGUGGUUUUCCCAGGGCCAGGCUUAACCAUUGCACUCUGGAUGUGCUGACCCUACAAUUUCUCCAAAUGUGGGAAACUUGACUGCAUAAUUUGUGGUGGUGGGGGAGUGCAUUCGUGAUCUCCCCUA